RNAcentral lists this ribosomal RNA (2350 nucleotides) under human gut metagenome. RNAcentral's name for it is "bacterial LSU rRNA". It matches the Rfam family "Bacterial large subunit ribosomal RNA", at positions 487 to 2925 of the family's 2925-position model. The record is from RNAcentral.
AUAGCGUAUAGUACUGUGAAGGAAAGGUGAAAAGCACCCCGGGAGGGGAGUGAAAAAGAACCUGAAACCCUGUGCCUACAAGCACCUAGAGCGCGUCAAAGCGUGAUAGGGUACUUUUUGUAGAACGGUCCGGCGAGCGAUUGUAUGCAGCAAGGUUAAGGACUUAAGGUCUGGAGCCGAAGCGAAAGCGAGUUUGAAAAGGGCGUUAAGUUGCAUAUAAUGGGCCCGAAACCGGGUGACCUACCCAUGGUCAGGUUGAAGUGGAAGUAAAAUUCCAUGGAGGACCGAACCGACCUCCGUUGAAAAGGCGGCGGAUGAACUGUGGGUAGCGGAGAAAUUCCAAUCGAACCCGGAGAUAGCUGGUUCUCCCCGAAAUAGUUUUAGGACUAGCCUCAAGUUAGAUACCUGGAGGUAAAGCACUGAAUAGCCUAGCGGCCGAGAGGUUAGCGAAGCUUAUCAAACUCAGAAUGCCAGAGUAUUGAUGCUUGGGAGUCAGACAGUGUCAGAUAAAUGUCAUUGUCAAAAGGGAAACAGCCCAGAUCUACAGCUAAGGUCCCAAAGUCAGGUUAAGUGGAAAACGAUGUGAAGAUACGCAGACAACCAGGAUGUUGGCUCAGAAGCAGCCACUCAUUCAAAGAGUGCGUAAUAGCUCACUGGUCGAGCGUCUUUGCGCGGAGAAUUUAACGGGGCUAAACCUGACACCGAAGCUUAGGCAAUACAGCAAUGUAUUGGGUAGGGGAGCGUUGUAUACGCGGAGAAACAGUAGCGCAAGCGGCUGUGGAGUGUAUAGAAGUGAGAAUGCCGGAAUGAGUAGCGCGAAUGCAGUGAGAAUCUGCAUGGCCGAAAGCCUCAGGUUUCUGGAGGAAGGUUCGUCCGCUCCAGGUUAGUCGGGAGCUAAGGUGAGGCCGGAAGGCGUAGCCGAUGCACAGACGGUAGAGAUUCCGUCACCACCAAAAGAGUUAAGCACAGGGACACAUAUGAAGUCUCAGAGCCGGGUGUUGGUUCCGGUAGAGAUCGAGGGAAGUUAGUACCGAAGUCUGAGAUGGAAGAUGGCGAGAAAAGCUGUGUGUAUUUCUGAGGUGCCCGUACCGCAAACCGACACAGGUAGGUAGGAAGAAGAUUCUAAGGCCAACGGGAGAAGGGUUGUUAAGGAACUCGGCAAAUUGACCCCGUAACUUCGGGAGAAGGGGUGCUCCAGAGAUGGAGCCGCAGAGAAUCGGCCCAAGCAACUGUUUACCAAAAACACAGGUUUGUGCUAAAUCGAAAGAUGACGUAUACGAGCUGACGCCUGCCCGGUGCUGGAAGGUUAAGAGGAGAUGUGCAAGCAUUGAAUCGAAGCCCCAGUGAACGGCGGCCGUAACUAUAACGGUCCUAAGGUAGCGAAAUUCCUUGUCAGGUAAGUUCUGACCCGCAUGAAAGGCGUAAUGAUUUGGGCACUGUCUCAACAGCCCGCCCGGCGAAAUUGUAGUACCGGUGAAGAUGCCGGUUACCCGCGACAAGACGGAAAGACCCCAUGGAGCUUUACUGUAGCCUAAUAUUGGGUUUCGAUGUUGCAUGCACAGGAUAGAUGGGACACUGGGAAACAGGAGCUUUGGCUUUUGCGGAGUGGCCGUUGGGAUACCAUCCUUGCGAUAUUGGAAUUCUAACCUGCGGCUCUGAAUCGAGUCGGGGGACAUUGUUAGGUGGGCAGUUUGACUGGGGCGGUCGCCUCCUAAAGAGUAACGGAGGCGUUCAAAGGUUCGCUCAGCUUGAACGGAAAUCAAGCAAAAGAGUGCAAACGCAGAAGCGAGCCUAACUGCGAGACUGACGGGUCGAGCAGUAACGAAAGUUGGAGUUAGUGAUCCGGUGGUAUGUGAGUGGAAAUGCCAUCGCUCAACGGAUAAAAGUUACCCUGGGGAUAACAGGCUGAUCUCCCCCAAGAGUCCACAUCGACGGGGAGGUUUGGCACCUCGAUGUCGGCUCAUCGCAUCCUGGGGCUGUAUUCGGUCCCAAGGGUUUGGCUGUUCGCCAAUUAAAGCGGUACGCGAGCUGGGUUCAGAACGUCGUGAGACAGUUCGGUCCCUAUCUGUCGUGGGCGCAGGAUAUUUGAUGGGAGCUGUCCCUAGUACGAGAGGACCGGGACGGACGUACCUCUGGCGCACCAGUUGUUCCGCCAGGAGCAUAGCUGGGCAACUACGUACGGAUCGGAUAAACGCUGAAAGCAUCUAAGCGUGAAGCCGACCCAAAGAUAAGAUAUCCCACUGAUUCAAUCAGGUAAGAUCCCUUGUAGACUACGAGGUUGAUAGGCACGAUGUGUAAGUGGAGUGAUCCAUUCAGCAAGUGUGUACUAAUAGAUCGAGGGCUUGACCAC